Molecule: transfer RNA, 74 nt
Filed under: Myotis davidii
Lineage: Eukaryota; Metazoa; Chordata; Mammalia; Chiroptera; Vespertilionidae
Rfam family: tRNA
About the family: Transfer RNA (tRNA) molecules are approximately 80 nucleotides in length.
Source: Rfam by way of RNAcentral
GCCAGUGUGGCUCAGUUGGUUUAAGCAUUGUUCUCUACAUCAAAAGAUCAUGGGUUCUAUUCCCAGUACGGGCA